ACACAGCAAAUUCCAUUCCAUAAAAUUUGAUUCGAAGUUGAGAAAUAUUUACAGUGCGAAAGAGAAAUGGCUUCUGGCUGCAACUGUGGUGAUAACUGCUCCUGUGGAGACAGCUGCAACUGUCAAUCCGGAACCAUCACAGCCAUCAUCCUGAAGAAGGGUGGGUGCAGCUGUGGGAGUGGCUGCUCAUGUGACCCAUGCAACUGCUAAGUGAACAAAAUGCCCAAACGACAACAACAAAGCUUCUUAUCCAUAGAAUAAACAGAAUUUGGUGUUCUUUGUCUUGUUCUUUUUCUUGAAAUGUGUAGUGUGAAGUGAAGUGUGUGAUGUUGCUUUGUUGUGGGUGGGCAUUUGGGGUUCAUAUCAGAUCAUCAAAGUUUCUAUGUGUGUUUGAAUUUAUGUUUUAUAUCAAUAUUUGUUUCGUGUCGUAGCA
Cucurbita maxima (winter squash) is the source of this 433-nucleotide long non-coding RNA. RefSeq lists it as uncharacterized. Lineage: Eukaryota; Viridiplantae; Streptophyta; Magnoliopsida; Cucurbitales; Cucurbitaceae. The record is from RefSeq and is a predicted model, not a curated record. The transcript is spliced from 3 exons.